Molecule: ribosomal RNA, 751 nt
Filed under: uncultured bacterium
Lineage: Bacteria
Description: bacterial SSU rRNA
Rfam family: Bacterial small subunit ribosomal RNA
Source: RNAcentral
GGGCUCAACCCCGGGACUGCUUUGGAAACUGUGGUGCUAGAGUGCAGGAGAGGUAAGUGGAAUUCCUAGUGUAGCGGUGAAAUGCGUAGAUAUUAGGAGGAACACCAGUGGCGAAGGCGGCUUACUGGACUGUAACUGACGUUGAGGCUCGAAAGCGUGGGGAGCAAACAGGAUUAGAUACCCUAGUAGUCCACGCUGUAAACGAUGAUUACUAAGUGUCGGGAAACCGGUGCUGAAGCUAACGCAUUAAGUAAUCCACCUGAGUAGUACGGUCGCAAGACUGAAACUCAAAGGAAUUGACGGGCACCCGCACAAGCGGUGGAGCAUGCUGUUUAAUUCGAAGAUACGCGAAGAACCUUACCUAGACUUGACAUCCCCGGCAAAGCUAUAGAAAUAUAGUGGAGGUUACCCGGGUGACAGGUGGUGCAUGGUUGUCGUCAGCUCGUGUCGUGAGAUGUUCGGUUAAGUCCGAUAACGAGCGCAACCCUUAUCUUUAGUUGCUAACAUUUAGUUGAGUUCUCUAAAGAUACUGCCGGUGACAAACCGGAGGAAGGUGGGGAUGACGUCAAAUCAUCAUGCCCCUUACGUCUAGGGCAACAGGCGUGCUACAAUGGCUGGUACAAAAAGAUGCAAUACCGUGAGGUGGAGCAAAUCUAAAAAACCAGUCCCAGUUCGGAUUGGAGUCUGCAACUCGACUCCAUGAAGUUGGAAUCGCUAGUAAUCCUGGAUCAGAAUGCCAGGUGAAUACGUU